Molecule: transfer RNA, 73 nt
Filed under: Thermoplasmata archaeon
Lineage: Archaea; Methanobacteriati; Thermoplasmatota; Thermoplasmata
Also listed under: 2 other names
Description: tRNA-Gln
Rfam family: tRNA
About the family: Transfer RNA (tRNA) molecules are approximately 80 nucleotides in length. Their secondary structure includes four short double-helical elements and three loops (D, anti-codon, and T loops). Further hydrogen bonds mediate the characteristic L-shaped molecular structure. tRNAs have two regions of fundamental functional importance: the anti-codon, which is responsible for specific mRNA codon recognition, and the 3' end, to which the tRNAs corresponding amino acid is attached (by aminoacyl-tRNA synthetases). tRNAs cope with the degeneracy of the genetic code in two manners: having more than one tRNA (with a specific anti-codon) for a particular amino acid; and 'wobble' base-pairing, i.e. permitting non-standard base-pairing at the 3rd anti-codon position.
Source: RNAcentral
AGCCCCGUGGUGUAGUGGCCAAGCAUGCGGGCCUUUGGAGCCCGCGACCCCGGUUCGAAUCCGGGCGGGGCUA